GGCCAAUGGAAGGCUCUGUUGGGCCGGCACCAGGCGAGGUGUUGAGUUGGCUUGGCUCAAGGUUCUUCAGGGUGUGAGCUGGAAUGAGGACCUGUUGGAAGUGGGAUCCAGGCCUGGUCCAGCCUCCCAGCUGCCUCGAUUUGUGCGUGUGAACACUCUCAAGACCUGCUCCGUUUAUGUAGUUAUUUCAAGAAACAAGGUUUCUCCUAUCAGGGUCGGGCUUCCAGGUGAGAGCUUAGAGCCCUGGCUGUCCUCAUCUAGGGAGGUGUCUGGGGUACUGGGAAGAGAAGUGGUUGGAUAGUUGUGACUUUGCUCUCUGGGCUUUGUUCCUACCUUUCCAGCAGUUUCUCCAUCUCCAAGGUUUGUUUUCCUCGCAUCCCUUAAACAUCGAACUCCUAGGAGCCCCAUCCUACAUUCUUCCGGAGCUCUCCGUUUUUUCUCUAACUUUAGCUCCUGCCUCCCACCUGGUGAUUCUCACCGCCCAGUGUAGACUUCCCUCUUGCAUUCUUCCCUCCUUAGGUUCAUAUGAAUGCACCACAGAUGCCACAGUCGCUGCAUUUGUCAUCUUUCCUCUCAGACUUUACACUUAGUACAUCCCCAGUUUAAUCUAACAGAUGUCACCGUUUUCCACCCAUUUGGUCAAGCCAGAAACGGAGUCAUCCUAGGUGCUUCC
RNAcentral lists this long non-coding RNA (673 nucleotides) under Pan troglodytes (chimpanzee). RNAcentral describes it as "long non-coding RNA NONPTRT016226". The record is from RNAcentral. Lineage: Eukaryota; Metazoa; Chordata; Mammalia; Primates; Hominidae.